GAAUCUUGGUUACUCGAAUUUUACAGUACAUUGAAAUACUUUGUAUAAUAUCAAUUAACAUCUAUUUAACAAUGAGUAUCCUUCCAGAAUUAGUUUAAACAACCAUUGGAAUGAAAAACAUUGACAUCAAUAACUUAAUGUGGGUGAACAUGCAGGUGAUCAAAGGCACCCCGGAACACGAAAACGGACUUCAACCUGAAAUCAUUUUUUGAAAAAAUAGCUGUAAACGGACAAUUUUAGGUAAAACCAUCCAAUCUUGUUCUCCAUACAUCAGUACAUGGUUUAAAAAUAUUAAACUUGAAAAAAAAUGUGUUGCGUCUAAAAAUAUGUAAUGAUUACUUCGAAAAGUGAUCAAUGUAACGCCGGUUUACGGUAUUGGACAAACGAACAUCGAAGUGAAAUAAUCUCAACAUUUUUUUCGUUCGGUGCGGUUCUGCUUUUUGUUUGCGCAAUUUUGUAGCAGUAUAUUUCGAUCGCAGAACGUGUGCUCUGCCUUGGUGGUGACUGGGUUGUAGAUUGUAAAUCUGCCCAAGUCUUAUGAUAACGAGGUUUUACACUGAUCAGCUGUAGUAUCUCUCCAGUGAAUAUCACAGUGAAACAAGGUGCAAUUUUUUUUUUUGGAAAGCGACAACAAACACUGCAAAUCUAUUCAUCAAGCGGUUUUGGUAAGUCGUGUGCAUGAACUGUAUUUGACACAGCUAUUGUUUUACUUGAGACAGGAAAUCAGAUAAGUUUCUUCAUUCAAUAUGCAGUCGUGAUUCGCUGGCUGGACACUUUUUAACUGGACCACUUUUUAGUUGGACCUCCGCUAGUUGGACCGUUGUCCAACUAAAAGCAUCUGAACGUCAAAAUCUCAUGUCAAAUUGACUUUGACAAUCUAUCUAAUAAUCUUUUACACUACUAAUGUCUUCUUUGGAGUUUUGCCUUUCUUAUAUAGAAAGGUUAUGCAAUCACUCUGAAAAACGUCAACCUAAUCCCGGCCCGGAGGGCCGAGUGUCAUAUCCCAUUCGACUCAGUUCGUCGAGAUCGGAAAAAGUCUGUAUGUGUGUGUGUAUGUAUGUAUGUGUGUGUAUGUGUGUGUAUGUGUGUGUGUAUGUAUGUGCGUAUGUGUCAAAUAAUGUCACUCAUUUUUCUCAGAGAUGGCUAGACCGAUUUGCCCAAACUUAGUCUCAAAUGAAAGGUGCAACCUUCCCAUCGGCUGCUAUUGAAUUUUGGAUCGAUCGGAAUUCUGGUUCCGGAAUUACGGGUUCCAGAGUGCGGCCACACAGAAAUUUCUCAUAUAAACUAUAGGAAAAAUUAAAAAUAGAAUUUUUAUUUUUGAUGCUAAAUGUGUUCAAGGUGCAUGAAACGUCGAGAUUUGAUGCAAACUGGAAAAAAAAUUUGACGACGAUUCACUUUUUUGGAUUUUGGCACAUUUUUGCCUUUCUCAUAUAGAAAGGUUAUGCAAUCACUCUUAAAAACGUCAACCUAAUCCCGGCAAAUUUUUUUUCGACUCGCAUAAGGUUUCUGGAUUUUAACAGGGGCGUAGUUGAUGGUUUACGGAGAGGGGUUACACCCCCCCCCCUCUACUGUUCACUCCCCUCCUUUAAAAAUCUUUUUAAAUCACCCCUCAGACCACCACCCCAUCCAGCCCUCAUACCCCUCCCUUUCAACCCCAUCAUCUUUAAACCACCACUGUAUCACAAAGCAUACCAAUUUAAGCUGGGGAGUCGUUCGUUCAUGGGACUUUCGCCCUCCUCACAUACCCACCCCCGCAUGACAAAAUAUGAUAUUUUUUGUUUCAAGUGUUUCACCGUCGUAACGUAGCUCAUCAAUUUCGUGGCUGGCAUGCCAUUGUAUAUAAGUGCAAAGUGUACUAAGAAUGUAAUAGAC
This is a long non-coding RNA of Topomyia yanbarensis, 1872 nucleotides long. RefSeq lists it as uncharacterized. The transcript is spliced from 3 exons. NCBI's taxonomy places the organism in Eukaryota, Metazoa, Arthropoda, Insecta, Diptera, Culicidae. The record is from RefSeq and is a predicted model, not a curated record.